AUCCAACUGACGGGUCCCGAAUAGGACAAAACGCUCGUCCUGGAU
RNAcentral lists this non-coding RNA (45 nucleotides) under Schistosoma mattheei. The record is from RNAcentral. Lineage: Eukaryota; Metazoa; Platyhelminthes; Trematoda; Strigeidida; Schistosomatidae.